UAGUCAUAUGCUUGUCUCAAAGAUUAAGCCAUGCAUGUCUAAGUAUAAGCUUGUUUAUACGGCGAGACUGCGGAUGGCUCAUUAAAUCAGUUAUAGUUUAUUUGAUGGUCUCUUUUGUCUUUUUUUACCUACUUGGAUAACCGUGGUAAUUCUAGAGCUAAUACAUGCGCAAGGUCCCGAGCGCGGGGGGCGGGGCUUCACGGCCUCGUCCUCGCAUGCGCAGAGGGAUGUAUUUAUUAGGUUAAAAACCAGCAGCCGGCAACGGCUUCAACUCCUGG
This 278-nucleotide ribosomal RNA is filed under the name uncultured eukaryote. Its description in RNAcentral is "partial 18S ribosomal RNA". It matches the Rfam family "Eukaryotic small subunit ribosomal RNA", at positions 21 to 246 of the family's 1831-position model. The record is from RNAcentral.